Small nucleolar RNA from Ornithorhynchus anatinus (platypus), 138 nucleotides. The record is from RefSeq and is a predicted model, not a curated record. Lineage: Eukaryota; Metazoa; Chordata; Mammalia; Monotremata; Ornithorhynchidae.
UCCCUCUCAGGGUUGCACCUGGAGAGUUUCGAGUCCUCUACCAGUCUCGAAUACAGGAGGGAGAGUCAAGCAGAGGCCCGUCCAUUCCAUUCCUAGCUUGGCCUGUGGCUAGUGAGUGGCAGGCAAUCUGCUACAAGU